GAUGAACGCUAGCUACAGGCUUAACACAUGCAAGUCGAGGGGAAACGACAUCGAAAGCUUGCUUUUGAUGUGCGUCGACCGGCGCACGGGUGAGUAACGCGUAUCCAACCUGCCCAUCACUUGGGAAUAACCUUGCGAAAGUAAGACUAAUACCUAAUGACAUCCCACGAAGACAUCUGAAUGGGAUUAAAGAUUUAUCGGUGAUGGAUGGGGAUGCGUCUGAUUAGCUUGUUGGCGGGGUAACGGCCCACCAAGGCAACGAUCAGUAGGGGUUCUGAGAGGAAGGUCCCCCACAUUGGAACUGCGACACGGUCCAAACUCCUACGGGAGGCAGCAGUGAGGAAUAUUGGUCAAUGGGCGAGAGCCUGAACCAGCCAAGUAGCGUGCAGGAUGACGGCCCUAUGGGUUGUAAACUGCUUUUAUAAGGGAAUAAAGUGGGUAUCGUGAGACUUUUUGCAUGUACCUUAUGAAUAAGGCCCGGCUAAUUCCGUG
This 492-nucleotide ribosomal RNA is filed under the name uncultured bacterium. RNAcentral describes it as "partial 16S ribosomal RNA". It matches the Rfam family "Bacterial small subunit ribosomal RNA", at positions 28 to 507 of the family's 1533-position model. The record is from RNAcentral.